UCUAGGGAAUGUAUAAGCUUCCUGGAGACUCUGGGGGUCCAAGCUAGACUCUCUGAGUCCCCUAUAUAUAAGCCCCUGUCACGUGAGACCACUCUGGGAACACUGGCUGGGGUUCUCUCUGACUCAGACCAGGAGGUUCUACCUACCCGGCACCUUGGGACAAGAGAGAGGGGUCCCCGAGGCUUUCUAUGUAACAAGAGGCACAGAGGGCACUUCAGUGUCACCCUUGAGGCGGGCAGCAAAGAGACCAGACUUGAAUCUACAAGGGUCUUCAGUGUCCAGCCUGGCAAAGCAGGAAGAGAGAAGACCCCACAGGGACAAACAGGCAGGGAUGGGGAGAGGACGGCCUCCUGCCUGUCAAAUACAGCCCCGGCUCACAGCACUCUGCAGGAUAAGGCUCAAAGCACUGUGACCCUGGACUCCCAGGCUGCUUGCUGGAAGCUGCUGUCCAAAAGUUUCAGAGUCUGGAGGUACUUGUCACAGAGACUCCAGGCAGUGGCUAAGGCCACAGCUAUGAGACAUAGGCAGCUGAUUGGAGAGAGCCCCAGAGAACUGCGUUGGGCCCCAUGGCUCCAGGAGACCCGGCUGGAGGCAGCUUGGGGUCAGCAUGCGAAGGCUCUUCUAGCCUGGAGCUUCCGAGAGUGGAGAUGUGUCACUUUGCAGCAGAAACUGGAGCAAGCUCAUACCCAGGCUGCGCCAACAUUCCUUGCUCCUAGGGGGAGCCUUUCCUUGGAAAGAAAAGCAGCCACAGAUCUUGCCUGGAGAUGCAGGGACAAGU
This 778-nucleotide long non-coding RNA is filed under the name Rattus norvegicus (Norway rat). Its description in RNAcentral is "long non-coding RNA NONRATT023840". Lineage: Eukaryota; Metazoa; Chordata; Mammalia; Rodentia; Muridae. The record is from RNAcentral.